AUUGGAUAAUUGAGAUUAAGAAAAAUAGAAAAUAUAUGUGAAUUGAUAAAUUGAUAAUGUCGACAGCCUAACUAGAUAUUCUGGGAGAUGAUAGACAGACCGGUUCCAUAGGGAACCCUACUGGGAAUGUGGUCUCUCAUAUCGGACGGGGUAUGGAGACCUUAUGUGUUUUGGCGCCCAUACUAGACGAGGUAUGGGGACGACCCGUUUCACCCUCAUACCGGACGGGAUAUUGAGGUUUAUGAUUUUGGCGCCCAUACCAAACGGGGUAUGGGGACGACUCUGAAAUUAAGUUAUUAAUGUGAAUGGUUCACGUGUAGCGGGGACCCCCUAUGGAUCCCCAUGGAUACUAAUAGGCUGAUAAAAGAGAAAAUUUGUUGUCUAAUGAUUGAAAUACAAAAGUAUGAUAU
This 410-nucleotide long non-coding RNA is filed under the name Carica papaya (papaya). Its description in RNAcentral is "long non-coding RNA (CPAP_LNC007951)". The record is from RNAcentral. Lineage: Eukaryota; Viridiplantae; Streptophyta; Magnoliopsida; Brassicales; Caricaceae.